UCGGCGCCGUGUGACAACAUGUUUUAAAAGGAGGGAUUUCAGUCACAAAGUGUACGCGAUUCCCACAAAACAGGCAGCCCCCGGUGCCCGCAGCUCAGCGGGAGACGUUGCUCGGGGCUCCCGGCCGCGAAGAGCCUUGUGGCAGCACCAGCUGCCUGGGAAGUCGUUGAUAAUUUUCACGGCGGCGAUUGCGAAAUCCCCCUCUUGGGACUCGGCCAAUGAGGAAGCCUUUGGGGGGGGGGGGGCAGCAGCACAACCCCCAGGCUCGCUUUGAAAUCUCAUCUUUGCCUGUGGCGCCCUCCCCCCUCACCCCGUAGGGGCGGGACCACGAGCCAGCCCCCGGGAGUAUAAAGGCAGCAACAGGCAGGCAGAGCUUUAAGCAUCAGGAAGAUACAGUUCCCACUGAUCUAAGGUCGGGUCUCAGGAAGACACACUAGAGGGGAGGAAACAGGAAACCACUUGCUGCAAAGGGAAGAAAGAGGAUCCUUCUGACUCAGAGGAAGCAGCAGCCAAGUCUUGAAGGGGGAAGUGCACUUAAGUUAUCCUUCUUCAAACCACUUCACCCUUAGGACUGGAUUUCAGUUUCACCUGGAAAAUGAUGUGAUUUCUACCUGCAGGCAGUGGAACAAUUCCAUUUGGAAUGAACAAACCUUCCUGGAGUCUUUCCACUUCAGUGUUCGCAGCAUUACUGAUGAACCUCCUCAGCGCAUAAUUGAUACAGAAUCCAUGAAGCUGUAGUACGUCAGCAUCAUUGUUGACCCAAACUCAUGAUGUAACUAUGCAGCAAGGCUAAUGUGUAGUGGUGUGAUAAUUUCGGAACCAUUAAAUACCAUACACUCCAUAAUUGAAAAACGCCUUCUUUAAAUGUCUUUUUUGAAACUUCUUGUUGGCUGAGUUAUACGCUUCUUUAUCUAUCAAACUGCUGCACCAACAGGCACAAAAGUAGCUGACCUCUCUAAACUACAAUCACCUGGGUUUGAAUAAUGUUCUGAGGCUUUUAUUUUGGCCAUUUCAGACCAAAAGAUUUAAGUGGCUUCAUAUAAAAAUCACUUGUUUAUUUGAAAGCUGUUCAUCAGGCUCACUUGCCGGAAAAACAUCCACAAAACAUUUGGAUGACUUACCGGUAGGUUCUUGCUUCAGAUUACUAGCAGCUUGUGUAGCAUCACCUAACAUUAUUGCACAGCAUGGAAAGAUGGUAGAAUUGCCUUGUCCAUGCCAUGCAUGGAAUGAAAUUGCACAACCAUAGUAUUUGCCUUUGGUUGUCUACUGGAAUUGCUUGUCAUUUCUACAUCAGGAGGAAAUAGAGCUUUAGAUCUCUGCAGCAGCAUUCUUGUUCUACAUAAGAUCUGUCUCUUCAAUCAGUUGA
Chelonia mydas (Green sea turtle) is the source of this 1366-nucleotide long non-coding RNA. RefSeq lists it as uncharacterized. The record is from RefSeq and is a predicted model, not a curated record. The transcript has 3 exons. NCBI's taxonomy places the organism in Eukaryota, Metazoa, Chordata, Testudines, Cheloniidae.